RNAcentral lists this ribosomal RNA (600 nucleotides) under uncultured bacterium. Its description in RNAcentral is "bacterial SSU rRNA". It matches the Rfam family "Bacterial small subunit ribosomal RNA", at positions 75 to 678 of the family's 1533-position model. The record is from RNAcentral.
CUUGCUUCUUGGGUGACGAGCGGCGGACGGGUGAGUAAUGCAUAGGAAUCUGCCCGAUAGUGGGGGAUAACCUGGGGAAACCCAGGCUAAUACCGCAUACGUCCUACGGGAGAAAGGAGGCUCCGGCUCCCGCUAUGGGAUGAGCCUAUGUCGGAUUAGCUAGUUGGUGAGGUAACGGCUCACCAAGGCAACGAUCCGUAGCUGGUCUGAGAGGAUGAUCAGCCACAUCGGGACUGAGACACGGCCCGAACUCCUACGGGAGGCAGCAGUGGGGAAUAUUGGACAAUGGGCGCAAGCCUGAUCCAGCCAUGCCGCGUGUGUGAAGAAGGCCCUCGGGUUGUAAAGCACUUUCAGCGAGGAAGAACGCCUAGCGGUUAAUACCCGCUAGGAAAGACAUCACUCGCAGAAGAAGCACCGGCUAACUCCGUGCCAGCAGCCGCGGUAAUACGGAGGGUGCAAGCGUUAAUCGGAAUUACUGGGCGUAAAGCGCGCGUAGGUGGCUUGAUAAGCCGGUUGUGAAAGCCCCGGGCUCAACCUGGGAACGGCAUCCGGAACUGUCAAGCUAGAGUGCAGGAGAGGAAGGUAGAAUUCCCGGUGUAG